This 599-nucleotide ribosomal RNA is filed under the name Anthracocystis elionuri. RNAcentral's name for it is "partial large subunit ribosomal RNA". It matches the Rfam family "Eukaryotic large subunit ribosomal RNA", at positions 77 to 657 of the family's 3401-position model. Lineage: Eukaryota; Fungi; Basidiomycota; Ustilaginomycetes; Ustilaginales; Ustilaginaceae. The record is from RNAcentral.
CCCCUAGUAACGGCGAGUGAAGAGGGAAGAGCCCAAGAUUGAAAGCUGGCGUCUUCGGCGUCCGCAUUGUAAUCUCAAGAAGUGUUUUCCGCUUCGGACCAUGCCUAAGUCCCUUGGAAAAGGGCAUCAUAGAGGGUGAUAAUCCCGUACAUGGCAUGGAGCGCCCGAGGCUUUGUGAUACGCUUUCUAAGAGUCGAGUUGUUUGGGAAUGCAGCUCAAAAUGGGUGGUAAAUGCCAUCUAAGGCUAAAUAUUGGGGAGAGACCGAUAGCGAACAAGUACAGUGAUGGAAAGAUGAAAAGAACUUUGAAAAGAGAGUUAAACAGUACGUGAAAUUGCCAAAAGGGAAGGGUAGGAGGUCAGAGAUGCGUCUUGGGAUUCAGCCUUGCUUUUGCUUGGUGUUUUUCCCAAGUUGCAGGCCAACGUCGGUUUUGGGCACUGGAGAAGGGUGGAAGGAAUGUGGCACCUCUCGGGGUGUGUUAUAGCCUUCUACUGGAUACAGCGACCGAGACCGAGGACAGCAGCGUACUCGCAAGAGCGGGCCUUCGGGCACCUUUACGCUUAGGGCGUUGGCAUAAUGGCCCUCUACCACCCGUCUUGA